Molecule: ribosomal RNA, 701 nt
Filed under: Bacillus mycoides
Lineage: Bacteria; Bacillati; Bacillota; Bacilli; Caryophanales; Bacillaceae
Description: bacterial SSU rRNA
Rfam family: Bacterial small subunit ribosomal RNA
Source: RNAcentral
AUUAAGAGCUUGCUCUUAUGAAGUUAGCGGCGGACGGGUGAGUAACACGUGGGUAACCUACCCAUAAGACUGGGAUAACUCCGGGAAACCGGGGCUAAUACCGGAUAAUAUUUUGAACUGCAUAGUUCGAAAUUGAAAGGCGGCUUCGGCUGUCACUUAUGGAUGGACCCGCGUCGCAUUAGCUAGUUGGUGAGGUAACGGCUCACCAAGGCAACGAUGCGUAGCCGACCUGAGAGGGUGAUCGGCCACACUGGGACUGAGACACGGCCCAGACUCCUACGGGAGGCAGCAGUAGGGAAUCUUCCGCAAUGGACGAAAGUCUGACGGAGCAACGCCGCGUGAGUGAUGAAGGCUUUCGGGUCGUAAAACUCUGUUGUUAGGGAAGAACAAGUGCUAGUUGAAUAAGCUGGCACCUUGACGGUACCUAACCAGAAAGCCACGGCUAACUACGUGCCAGCAGCCGCGGUAAUACGUAGGUGGCAAGCGUUAUCCGGAAUUAUUGGGCGUAAAGCGCGCGCAGGUGGUUUCUUAAGUCUGAUGUGAAAGCCCACGGCUCAACCGUGGAGGGUCAUUGGAAACUGGGAGACUUGAGUGCAGAAGAGGAAAGUGGAAUUCCAUGUGUAGCGGUGAAAUGCGUAGAGAUAUGGAGGAACACCAGUGGCGAAGGCGACUUUCUGGUCUGUAACUGACACUGAGGCGCG